GGUACAACCCUCCGAAAGGGGGGCUGAUACCGCGUACAUCCCCUGGGGGCAUCCCCGGGGGAGGAAAGCCCUUUUGGGCGGGCGGGGAUGGGCAUGCGGCGCAUUAGGAAGACGGCGGUGUGACGGACCACCGUUCCGACGAUGCGUAGGGGUUCUGAGAGGAAGGCCCCCCACACUGGUACUGAGACACGGACCAGACUCCUACGGGAGGCAGCAGUGAGGAAUAUUGGUCAAUGGCCGGAAGGCUGAACCAGCCAAGCCGCGUGAGGGAGGAAGGCGCAGAGCGUCGCAGACCUCUUUUGCCGGGGGACGAAAGGCCGGACUCGUCCGGUCCUGAGGGUACCCGGAGAAAAAGCAUCGGCUAACUCCGUGCCAGCAGCCGCGGUAAUACGGAGGAUGCGAGCGUUAUCCGGAUUCAUUGGGUUUAAAGGGUGCGCAGGCGGGCCUUUAAGCCGGCGGUGAAAUCGCGGGGCUCAACCCCGCCGAGCCGUCGGAACUGGGGGCCUUGAGUGCGGCGGAGGCAUGCGGAAUGCGCGGUGUAGCGGUGAAAUGCAUAGAUAUCGCGCAGAACCCCGAUUGCGAAGGCAGCGUGCCGUGCCGCCACUGACGCUGAGGCACGAAAGCGCGGGGAUCGAACAAGAUUAGAUACCCUGGUAGUCCGCGCCGUAAACGAU
RNAcentral lists this ribosomal RNA (674 nucleotides) under uncultured bacterium. RNAcentral describes it as "bacterial SSU rRNA". It matches the Rfam family "Bacterial small subunit ribosomal RNA", at positions 140 to 810 of the family's 1533-position model. The record is from RNAcentral.